Molecule: ribosomal RNA, 492 nt
Filed under: uncultured bacterium
Lineage: Bacteria
Description: partial 16S ribosomal RNA
Rfam family: Bacterial small subunit ribosomal RNA
Source: RNAcentral
AGUGAACGCUGGCGGUAGGCCUAACACAUGCAAGUCGAACGGCAGCACAGUAAGAGCUUGCUCUUACGGGUGGCGAGUGGCGGACGGGUGAGGAAUACAUCGGCAUCUACUUUUUCGUGGGGGAUAACGUAGGGAAACUUACGCUAAUACCGCAUACGACAUACGGGUGAAAGCAGGGGAUCUUCGGACCUUGCGCGAUUGAAUGAGCCGAUGUCGGAUUAGCUAGUUGGCGGGGUAACGGCCCACCAAGGCGACGAUCCGUAGCUGGUCUGAGAGGAUGAUCAGCCACACUGGAACUGAGACACGGUCCAGACUCCUACGGGAGGCAGCAGUGGGGAAUACUGCACAAUGGGCGCAAGCCUGAUCCAGCCACACCGCGUGAGUGAAGAAGGUCUUCGGGUUGUAAAACUCUUUUGUUGGGAAAGAACAGCUGCGUGAGAAACCCCGGCCGUUCUGACGGUACCCAAACAAAAAGCACCGGCUAACUUCGUG